GUCCAGACUCCUACGGGAGGCAGCAGUGGGGGAUAUUGCACAAUGGGGGGAACCCUGAUGCAGCGACGCCGCGUGGGUGAAGAAGUAUUUCGGUAUGUAAAGCCCUAUCGGCAGGGAAGAAAUUGGACGGUACCUGACUAAGAAGCCCCGACUAACUACGUGCCAGCAGCCGCGGUAAUACGUAGGGGGCAAGCGGUAUCCGGAUUCACUGGGUGUAAAGGGAGCGUAGACGGCCAUGCAAGCCUGGAGUGAAAGCCCGGGGCCCAACCCCGGGACUGCUCUGGGAACUGUGCGGCUGGAGUGCGGGAGGGGCAGGCGGAAUUCCUGGUGUAGCGGUGAAAUGCGUAGAUAUCAGGAGGAACACCGGCGGCGAAGGCGGCCUGCUGGACCGCGACUGACGUUGAGGCUCGAAAGCGUGGGGAGCAAACAGGAUUAGAUACCCGAGUAGA
Molecule: ribosomal RNA, 449 nt
Filed under: uncultured bacterium
Lineage: Bacteria
Description: bacterial SSU rRNA
Rfam family: Bacterial small subunit ribosomal RNA
Source: RNAcentral